AAUGAACGCUGGCGGCAUGCCUAACACAUGCAAGUCGAACGAAACGUUCGGGAGCUGUGGCGUCUGAGGUUGUAACGGGAGGGAACAGUCCCAUAUGUUCGGAAUAACUAUCCGAAAGGGGUGCUAUUAGGGGACAAUGGCUACUAACGAAAGAUUUAUCGCCCUGGGAUGGGCCCGAGUUGGAUUAGCUAGUUGGUAGGGUAAUAGCCUACCACGGCGACGAUCAGUAGCUGGUUUGUGAGGAUGAUCAGCCACACUGGGACUGAGACGCGGCCCAGACUCCUACGGGAGGCAGCAGUGGGGAAUAUUGGACAAUCGGCGAAAGCCUGAUCCAGCAAUGCCGCGUGAGUGAUGAAGGCCUUAGGGUUGUAAAGCUCUUUUACCCGGGAUGAUAAUGACAGUACCGGGAGAAUAAGCUCCGGCUAACUCCGUG
This 433-nucleotide ribosomal RNA is filed under the name uncultured bacterium. RNAcentral's name for it is "partial 16S ribosomal RNA". It matches the Rfam family "Bacterial small subunit ribosomal RNA", at positions 29 to 507 of the family's 1533-position model. The record is from RNAcentral.